This 397-nucleotide ribosomal RNA is filed under the name uncultured bacterium. Its description in RNAcentral is "partial 16S ribosomal RNA". It matches the Rfam family "Bacterial small subunit ribosomal RNA", at positions 523 to 918 of the family's 1533-position model. The record is from RNAcentral.
AUACGGAGACUACGAGCGUUACUCGGAUUCACUGGGCGUAAAGGGAGCGCAGGCGGGCUGGUGUGUUAUGUGUGAAAUGCCGGGGAUUAACUCCGGAGCUGCGCGUAAAACUACCAGUCUUGCGCCUUGGAGGGGUAAGCGGAAUUUCCGGUGUAGCGGUAAACUGCGUAGAUCUCGGGAGGAACCCCGAAGGCGAAGGCAGCUUACAGGACAAGGUCUGACGCUCAAGCUCGAAAGCGUAGGGAGCGAAAGGGAUUAGAUACCCCUUUAGUCCACGCACUAAACGUUGUUCACUAGUUAUUGGAGGAAUCAUCCCCUUCAGUGCCCCAGCUAACGCGAUAAGUGUACCGCCUGAGGACUACGACCUCAAGGUUAAAACUCAAAGGAAUUGACGGGG